GACGUAGGGGGCGAGCGUUGUCCGGAAUUAUUGGGCGUAAAGGGCUCCUAGGUGGUUCAGUAAGUCGACUGUGAAAAUCCAAGGCUCAACCUUGGGACUGCAGCCGAUACUGCUGUGACUCGAGUCCGGUAGAGGAGUGUGGAAUUCCUGGUGUAGCGGUGGAAUGCGCAGAUAUCAGGAGGAACACCAACGGCGAAGGCAGCACUCUGGGCCGGUACUGACACUGAAGAGCGAAAGCGUGGGGAGCAAA
Molecule: ribosomal RNA, 250 nt
Filed under: uncultured bacterium
Lineage: Bacteria
Description: partial 16S ribosomal RNA
Rfam family: Bacterial small subunit ribosomal RNA
Source: RNAcentral